GGUGGCUCAGUGGUAGAGUGCUUGCCUUGAAUGCCUGAGGCUGGGGUUCGAUUCCUCAGCACCA
This 64-nucleotide transfer RNA is filed under the name Dipodomys ordii (Ord's kangaroo rat). It matches the Rfam family "tRNA". Rfam says of the family: Transfer RNA (tRNA) molecules are approximately 80 nucleotides in length. Their secondary structure includes four short double-helical elements and three loops (D, anti-codon, and T loops). Further hydrogen bonds mediate the characteristic L-shaped molecular structure. tRNAs have two regions of fundamental functional importance: the anti-codon, which is responsible for specific mRNA codon recognition, and the 3' end, to which the tRNAs corresponding amino acid is attached (by aminoacyl-tRNA synthetases). tRNAs cope with the degeneracy of the genetic code in two manners: having more than one tRNA (with a specific anti-codon) for a particular amino acid; and 'wobble' base-pairing, i.e. permitting non-standard base-pairing at the 3rd anti-codon position. Lineage: Eukaryota; Metazoa; Chordata; Mammalia; Rodentia; Heteromyidae. The record is from Rfam by way of RNAcentral.